RNAcentral lists this transfer RNA (87 nucleotides) under Lutibacter sp. BRH_c52. RNAcentral's name for it is "tRNA-Leu". It matches the Rfam family "tRNA". From Rfam's summary of the family: Transfer RNA (tRNA) molecules are approximately 80 nucleotides in length. Their secondary structure includes four short double-helical elements and three loops (D, anti-codon, and T loops). Further hydrogen bonds mediate the characteristic L-shaped molecular structure. tRNAs have two regions of fundamental functional importance: the anti-codon, which is responsible for specific mRNA codon recognition, and the 3' end, to which the tRNAs corresponding amino acid is attached (by aminoacyl-tRNA synthetases). tRNAs cope with the degeneracy of the genetic code in two manners: having more than one tRNA (with a specific anti-codon) for a particular amino acid; and 'wobble' base-pairing, i.e. permitting non-standard base-pairing at the 3rd anti-codon position. The record is from RNAcentral. Lineage: Bacteria; Pseudomonadati; Bacteroidota; Flavobacteriia; Flavobacteriales; Flavobacteriaceae.
GCCUCGAUGGCGGAAUUGGUAGACGCGCUGGAUUCAAAAUCCAGUUUUCGCAAGGAAGUGUGGGUUCGAUUCCCACUCGAGGUACAA